GACGAACGCUGGCGGCGUGCCUAAUACAUGCAAGUCGAGCGGACAGAUGGGAGCUUGCUCCCUGAUGUUAGCGGCGGACGGGUGAGUAACACGUGGGUAACCUGCCUGUAAGACUGGGAUAACUCCGGGAAACCGGGGCUAAUACCGGAUGGUUGUUUGAACCGCAUGGUUCAGACAUAAAAGGUGGCUUCGGCUACCACUUACAGAUGGACCCGCGGCGCAUUAGCUAGUUGGUGAGGUAACGGCUCACCAAGGCGACGAUGCGUAGCCGACCUGAGAGGGUGAUCGGCCACACUGGGACUGAGACACGGCCCAGACUCCUACGGGAGGCAGCAGUAGGGAAUCUUCCGCAAUGGACGAAAGUCUGACGGAGCAACGCCGCGUGAGUGAUGAAGGUUUUCGGAUCGUAAAGCUCUGUUGUUAGGGAAGAACAAGUGCCGUUCAAAUAGGGCGGCACCUUGACGGUACCUAACCAGAAAGCCACGGCUAACUACGUGCCAGCAGCCGCGGUAAUACGUAGGUGGCAAGCGUUGUCCGGAAUUAUUGGGCGUAAAGGGCUCGCAGGCGGUUUCUUAAGUCUGAUGUGAAAGCCCCCGGCUCAACCGGGGAGGGUCAUUGGAAACUGGGGAACUUGAGUGCAGAAGAGGAGAGUGGAAUUCCACGUGUAGCGGUGAAAUGCGUAGAGAUGUGGAGGAACACCAGUGGCGAAGGCGACUCUCUGGUCUGUAACUGACGCUGAGGAGCGAAAGCGUGGGGAGCGAACAGGAUUAGAUACCCUGGUAGUCCACGCCGUAAACGAUGAGUGCUAAGUGUUAGGGGGUUUCCGCCCCUUAGUGCUGCAGCUAACGCAUUAAGCACUCCGCCUGGGGAGUACGGUCGCAAGACUGAAACUCAAAGGAAUUGACGGGGGCCCGCACAAGCGGUGGAGCAUGUGGUUUAAUUCGAAGCAACGCGAAGAACCUUACCAGGUCUUGACAUCCUCUGACAAUCCUAGAGAUAGGACGUCCCCUUCGGGGGCAGAGUGACAGGUGGUGCAUGGUUGUCGUCAGCUCGUGUCGUGAGAUGUUGGGUUAAGUCCCGCAACGAGCGCAACCCUUGAUCUUAGUUGCCAGCAUUCAGUUGGGCACUCUAAGGUGACUGCCGGUGACAAACCGGAGGAAGGUGGGGAUGACGUCAAAUCAUCAUGCCCCUUAUGACCUGGGCUACACACGUGCUACAAUGGACAGAACAAAGGGCAGCGAAACCGCGAGGUUAAGCCAAUCCCACAAAUCUGUUCUCAGUUCGGAUCGCAGUCUGCAACUCGACUGCGUGAAGCUGGAAUCGCUAGUAAUCGCGGAUCAGCAUGCCGCGGUGAAGACGUUCCCGGGCCUUGUACACACCGCCCGUCACACCACGAGAGUUUGUAACACCCGAAGUCGGUGAGGUAACCUUUAUGGAGCCAGCCGCCGAAGGUGGGACAGAUGAUUGGGGUG
RNAcentral lists this ribosomal RNA (1472 nucleotides) under Bacillus siamensis. RNAcentral describes it as "bacterial SSU rRNA". It matches the Rfam family "Bacterial small subunit ribosomal RNA". The record is from RNAcentral. Lineage: Bacteria; Bacillati; Bacillota; Bacilli; Caryophanales; Bacillaceae.